RNAcentral lists this ribosomal RNA (301 nucleotides) under uncultured bacterium. RNAcentral's name for it is "partial 16S ribosomal RNA". It matches the Rfam family "Bacterial small subunit ribosomal RNA", at positions 509 to 807 of the family's 1533-position model. The record is from RNAcentral.
CAGCAGCCGCGGUAAAACGGAGGAUCCAAGCGUUAUCCGGAAUCAUUGGGUUUAAAGGGUCCGUAGGCGGUCUUGUAAGUCAGUGGUGAAAGCCCAUCGCUCAACGGUGGAACGGCCAUUGAUACUGCAGGACUUGAAUUAUUGGGAAGUAACUAGAAUAUGUAGUGUAGCGGUGAAAUGCUUAGAGAUUACAUGGAAUACCAAUUGCGAAGGCAGGUUACUACCAAUUGAUUGACGCUGAUGGACGAAAGCGUGGGUAGCGAACAGGAUUAGAUACCCCUGUAGUCCCUGUCUCUUAUAC